AUUGAACGCUGGCGGCAGGCCUAACACAUGCAAGUCGAGCGGAGCGGCGGACGGGUGCGUAAUGCCUGGGAAUCUGCCUGGUCGUGGGGGAUAACGUCCGGAAACGGGCGCUAAUACCGCAUACUAUCAGAUGAGCCUAGGUCGGAUUAGCUAGUUGGAGGGGUAAAGGCACACCAAGGCGACGCUCCGUAACUGGUCUGAGAGGAUGAUCAGUCACACUGGAACUGAAACACGGUCCAGACUCCUACGGGAGGCAGCAGUGGGGAAUAUUGGACAAGGGGCGAAAGCCUGGUCCAGCCAUGCCGCGUGUGUGAAGAAGGUCUUCGGAUUGUAAAGCACUUUAAGUUGGGAGGCGUUACCAACAGAAUAAGCACCGGCUAACUUCGUGCCAGCCGCCGCGGUAAUUC
Molecule: ribosomal RNA, 407 nt
Filed under: uncultured bacterium
Lineage: Bacteria
Description: partial 16S ribosomal RNA
Rfam family: Bacterial small subunit ribosomal RNA
Source: RNAcentral